RNAcentral lists this ribosomal RNA (398 nucleotides) under uncultured bacterium. RNAcentral describes it as "bacterial SSU rRNA". It matches the Rfam family "Bacterial small subunit ribosomal RNA", at positions 30 to 424 of the family's 1533-position model. The record is from RNAcentral.
AUUGAACGCUGGCGGCAGGCCUAACACAUGCAAGUCGAGCGGAUGAAAGGGGCUUGCUCCUGGAUUCAGCGGCGGACGGGUGAGUAAUGCGCAGGAAUCUACCUAGUAGUGGGGGAGUAACGUUUCGAAGGAACGCUAAUACCGCAUACGUUCUGAGGAAGAAAGACAGGGGAGUCGUAAGACCUUGCGCUAUUAGAUGAGCUUGCGUCCGAUUAGCUAGUUGGUGGGGUAAAGGACCUACCAAGGCGACGAUCGGUAACUGGUCUGAGAGGAUGAUCAGUCACACUGGAACUGAGACACGGUCCAGACUCCUACGGGAGGCAGCAGUGGGGGAAGUAUUGGACAAUGGGGGCGAACCCUGAUCCAGCCAUGCCGCGUGUGUGAAGAAGGCCUCGGUU